ACUUGAUCCCCUGGAAAUGUCCUACUUCCUGCUCCUCCCCAGGCCCUGCCUAGUGGGACCACGUCAUUCUCUAUUCUCAUGGACCUCUAUACCCCUCCUCUCUGAGUUCAGGUAUUCUGGUACCUGCCCACAGCAGGGAGAACAACAGACCACAUGUCCAGUCCUUGCCCAGCCCAGAUUAUGCUAUAAAGACGUUUUUUGAAAGAGAAAGAAAGAGGUGACAUUCUGUGGAGGGAUCUUAAGGGACCAGGCCUAAUCACAUCAGGGACUCGAGGCCUCCCUUCCAGGCUUGGCAGGCAGAGUAUCUCAAGAUGAAGAGAAAGACAUUUUCCCUUGCAUGCUGGCUGCUGUUUCAUCUUCUACUACUCUUAGGAAACGCUGUAACUUCUAAUGCUAACACUACAGCCACCACCCUUGGACAAACCACAUCACCCAGGGGAACUAACACAACAGCUAUAACCUCCAGUGGGAACAUCACGACCACCUCCCUCGGACCAACCACACCGUCCAGGGGAACUAACACAACAGCUGUAACCUCCAGUGGGAACAUCACGACCACCUCCCUCGGACCAACCACACCGUCCAGGGAAACUAACACAACGGCUAUAACCUCCAGUGACACCAGCACAAGUACUGCCCCUCCAAGGAAAGAGGAGAACCUUAGCGGACAACUGACACCAUGGGAAGUUGUUCUGGUCACUCUGGCCUCGGUUGCAAUGGCUGUGAUUCUCGUCACCGGGCUUCUCUUCCAUUUCAGAAACUCUCCAGGCCUCAGAAACCUCUUCGAUGUUAAUCUCUUACCAACUGCAUGGCCAAGCCCCUACGGGACCAGGGCAACUGCAACUGACUUCAGAGGAGACCCUUCUCCCGUAGUCAUGGAGCUGACUGGGAGGCGGGAAUAGCACUGAGCUCCCUGAAGGCAGACGCAUCACCAAUGUGUGGGGGUGGGGGGCUGACCUGGGGGAGCCUGAGUAUUCCUCCUGUCCGAAGGACUGUCCCUCCCAGCUCCAUUUCAGCCUCUGACUGUCCUCCUUCCCACUUGGUUUUUCCAGACCAAAACAAGGAGGCUGUAGCUGUGAACGAAUUAUUAAAUAAACAAUUCUGAUAUACGUGGAACCAGACUCUCUAGGUGUAUUUAUGUAUUAUGGUGAACAGAGGUUCUUUAUACCCUAAAGACCCCUCUUCUCUUUGUUCUCCCAGCUCUCAAAUCCCCAGAGUGAAACCCAGACUUUAUAUGUGUCUCAUUUUCUUCCCCAUUCUGUCCUCAUUCCCCGGAGGCCUCUGGGCUGAUGAAUCAGGGAAUGGAAUCAGGGAAGAUGGAGAAGGCGAGUGCUACACAUCACAGGCUUGUGUUGUAUAAGGGGAAAAAAGUCUCUGAGCCAGUCUGCAGCACAAGGGGGCCGGGGAGCAACCGCGCAGGUUGUGAAGUAGAGAAGGUCUUGCUCAUGGGGCUUGGCCACCUUCCCUGUGUCCCUGGCUACUCAGGUCUGCUCUGGGCUCGGGCUCUUUACUAUUACUGGGAAGACAGGUGUGAGUCACCACCUUUCUCGCCUGUGGGCUCCCAGCCCCAGGAACGGUCCUGGGCAGGGAGAACAUGCUCCCAGUUUCUACAAGGGCGGGCCCAGCCUGUGCUGCCAGAAGCCAGGUUCUCAGCAGUCCCUGCAAAACCAGGUCUCAGAACAGGGACAUAAACCCAUGUGUCAGGGCUGUGCUCUUGCUGAAAGCCACGGCCUUGUCAAGGGUUUUGGUGCAACUUGCUCAUACACGCACUCACUGACCCUUCCUUGUGAAUGAAUCACAAUGAAUCACACACCCUUGUUUCAUCAGCUCAGCCCUUGUCAUGGUUCUCAUAGCUGGACCUUUGCCAGAGCCUUCUUAAUAGGACCAAGGCUGUUUAUAUACAUUUUGCAAUAUUAUUAACAAAACAGUUUUAAACAGCUGUAUAGAAACCAAAUGCAAAGAACCUACUGUAUGAUUCCAUUGUAUGAAAUUCAAGAACAGAACUAAUCUGGGAGUUCCCGUCAUGGCUGAGCAGUAAUGAACCCAACUAGUACCCAUGAGGAUUUGGGUUUGAUCCCUGGCCUCUCUCGGUGGGUUAAGGAUCCAGUGUUGCCAUGAGCUGUGUGGUGUAGGUCGCAGACACAGCUCAGAUCCCACAUUGCUGUGGCUGUGGCUGUGGCGUAGGCCAGCAGCUGCCAGCCUGGGGACUUCAAUAUGCCAUGGGUGCGGUCCUAAAAAAAAAAAAAAAAAAAAAAAAAAGAAAAAAAAAUGAAAAAAAAAAAAAGAAAAGAAGAGAACUAAUCUACAGUGACAGAGCAGAUCACUGAUUUCCCACAGGUGAGAAUUUUUAGAAGGGGGAACUUUCUGGAUGAUAAAAUGUUUUAUAUCUUGGCUGGGCUAUUGGUUACACAAGUAAAUACAUAUAUCAAAACUCAUCUAAUGGAAUAAUUAAAAUCUGUGCAUUUCACUGUUUGUAAGUUUAUUCCAGGGAAAAAAUUUAGUUAUAUAUAAUAGAGUUUUUAAAGCCAUAAAUAGUCUCAACAGCAAAAAAGCCAACAACCCAACUGAAAAAUGGGCAAAGGACCUGAAUAGACAUUUCUCCAAGGCCAACAAGCACUUGAAACAAUGCUCAACAUCACUGAUUAUUAGAGAAAUGCAAAUCGAAACUACCAUGAGAUACCACCUCACACCAGUUAGAAUGGCCAUCUUUAAUAAGUCCACAAAUAACAAAUGCUGGAGGUGGUGUGGAGAAAAGGGAACCCUCCUACACUGUUGGUGGGAAUGUAAGCUGGUACAACCACUAUGGAGAAACGUAUGGAGGUAUCUUAGAAAACUAUACAUAGAACUACCACAUAACCCGGCAAUCUCACUCUUGGGCAUAUAUCCGGACAAAAUUCUACUUAAAAAAGAAACAUGCACCCGCAUGUUCACUGCAGCACUAUUCACAACCGUCAGGAUGUGGAAUCAACCCAAAUGUCCACUGAUAGAUGAUUGGAUCAGGAAGAUGUGGUAUAUAUACACAAUGGAAUACUACUUAUCCAUAAAAAAGAACAAAAUAAUGCCAUUUGCAGCAACAUGGAUGGAACUAGACUCUCAUCCUGAGUGAAGUAAGUCAGAAAGAGAAAGACAAAUACCAUAUGAUAUCAUUAUAUCUGGAAUCUAAUAUAUGGCACAAAGGAAACUUGCCACAGAAAAGAAGAUCAUGGACUUGCAGAAUAGACUUGUGGUUGCCAAGGGGGAGCGGGAGGGAGUGGGAGGGACUGGGAGCUUGGGGUAAAUAGACGCAGAAUGUUGCCUUCAGGAUGGGUUAGCAAUGGGAUCCUGCUGUGUAGCACUGGGAACUCUGUCUAGUCAAUUAUGAUGGAACAUGCAAUGUGAGAAAAUAAAUAAAUAAGAUCAUACAUAUUAAAAAAUAUAAAGCUAUAAAUAGUUCUAUUAUUGUUUUUUUUUUUUUUUUUUUGCUUUUUAGGGCCGCACUUGCGACAUAUGAGGUUCCCAGACUAGGGGUUGAAUCAGAGCUACAGCUGCUGGCCUACACCAUAGCCACAGCAAUGCCAGAUUGGAGCUGCAUCUGCAACCUACACCACAGCUCAUGGCAACACCAGAUCCCUAACCCACUGAUUGAGGCCAGGGAUUGAGCCCCCAUGCUCAUGGAUACUAGUCGGGUUCAUUACCUCUGAGCCACAGUGGGAACUCCCUAGCUUUAUUCUUGAAGGCAGUAACUAGUCUAUCGGUUAUCUCCCCUUCAGCUUUUAAUAGUCCCAAUCCUUUACUUAAAAUAAUGGAGUUCCCAUCAUCCUGUCAAGCA
This 3808-nucleotide long non-coding RNA is filed under the name Sus scrofa (pig). Its description in RNAcentral is "lncRNA (ENSSSCG00055030290.1)". Lineage: Eukaryota; Metazoa; Chordata; Mammalia; Artiodactyla; Suidae. The record is from RNAcentral.